GACGAACGCUGGCGGCGUGCUUAACACAUGCAAGUCGAGCGGAGCGGCGCACGGGUGAGUAACGCGUGAGUAACUGCCCCCCUCUCUGGGAUAACAGUUGGAAACGGCUGCUAAUACCGGAUAGUGGGGGAUGAAUCGCGUCCUAUCCGCUUGUUGGUGGGGUAGUGGCCUACCAAGGCGACGACGGGUAGCCGGCCGGAGAGGGCGACCGGCCACAUUGGGCUGAGAGACGGGCCAAAAUCCUACGGGAGGCAGCAGUGGGGAAUAUUGCGCAAGGGGGGAAACCCUGAUGCAGCAACGCCGCGGGGGGGAUGAAGGGCUUCGGGUUGUAGACCGCGUUCAGCCAUGACGCGGUAGUGGCAGAAGAAGCAACGGCUAACUACGUGCCAGCAGCCGCGGUAAUUC
This 405-nucleotide ribosomal RNA is filed under the name uncultured bacterium. RNAcentral describes it as "partial 16S ribosomal RNA". It matches the Rfam family "Bacterial small subunit ribosomal RNA", at positions 28 to 526 of the family's 1533-position model. The record is from RNAcentral.